This 1331-nucleotide ribosomal RNA is filed under the name Cercaria cristatella. RNAcentral's name for it is "partial large subunit ribosomal RNA". It matches the Rfam family "Eukaryotic large subunit ribosomal RNA", at positions 48 to 952 of the family's 3401-position model. The record is from RNAcentral. Lineage: Eukaryota; Metazoa; Platyhelminthes; Trematoda.
UGGCCGGGGAGGAAAGACUAACAGGAUUCCCCUAGUAACUGCGAGUGAACAGGGAUUAGCCCAGCACCGAAGCCUGUGGUCAUUUGAUCACUAGGCAAUGUGGUGUUCAGGUUGUUCCGCAAAGGUACUGCUCCACCCUAAGUCCAUCAAUGAGUACGGCGUACGGACAUGGCCCACUGAGGGUGAAAGGCCCGUGUGGGUGGAGUUCAAGCAGGCCAGUGCCUUUCUGGAUAGACCUUGGAGUCGGGUUGUUUGUGAAUGCAGCCCAAAGUGGGUGGUAAACUCCAUCCAAGGCUAAAUACUAGCACGAGACCGAUAGCGAACAAGUACCGUGAGGGAAAGUUGAAAAGUACUUUGAAGAGAGAGUAAACAGUGCGUGAAACCGAUCAGAGGUAAACGGGUGGAGUUGAACUGCAAGCUCUGAAGAAAUUCAGCUGGGUGAGUGGGUUUUGAAGCUUGGAUAAAAUUCGGUUGGGCCCCUGGAGUCUGCGUAGUAAGCAGGCCUUUGCCCCUCGGGGGUGGAGGGUGCGCGGUGCACUUAUCAAGGUGUUGUGCGCUUCAGGGUGUUCAUCGGGCCGACUUGCCAGUGCACUUUCUCAGAGUAGUCACCACGACCGGCACCGCUGUCUGGCUGUUAUGGUUAAACCGUUCUUGCAUUGUCCUUGUGGCGUUGCUUGGUCGGGAUGGCAGGUAGAUCGUUGACUUGCUUGUGGCUUGCUGCAGGCAUUUGGUCUUCGAUUGUAAUCAGCUGACCAUAUCGGUUCUGUGCAGUGUGUCGGAGACGGCGGCUUUUGUGUGUGCGUGCGUGCCUGGCUGGCUGACCUAUCCGGGUUUGGUUGUUAUGUUGCCUGUUUGCGCAGGCCUGAUAAUGGCUCGGAUUGGUUCGGUUGGCGGUUGCGUGCGUGUCACAAUUCAAGGGCCAAUAGUCUGUGGUGUAGUGGUAGACUAUCCACCUGACCCGUCUUGAAACACGGACCAAGGAGAGUAACAUGUGCGCGAGUCAAUGGGCGUAACGAAACCCAAAGGCGCAGUGAAAGUAAAGGUCUGGCUUGUCCAGGCUGAGGUGAGAUCCUGUCGUUUCUCAUGCGUGGUACCACCAAGCUUCGAGCGGCAGGCGCAUCACCGGCCCGUCCCAUGACAAUUGUUUUCGAUCAUUACCCAGUCGGGGCGGAGCAUGAGCGCACAUGUUGAGACCCGAAAGAUGGUGAACUAUGCUUGCGCAGGUUGAAGCCAGAGGAAACUCUGGUGGAGGACCGUAGCGGUUCUGACGUGCAAAUCGAUCGCCAGACGUGAGUAUAGGGCGAAAGACUAAUCGAACCAUCCAAAGGGCC